UACGUAGGGUGCGAGCGUUAAUCGGAAUUACUGGGCGUAAAGGGUGCGCAGGCGGUUCUGCAAAUCAGGCGUGAAAUCCCCGGGCUUAACCUGGGAAUGGCGCUUGAAACUACGGGACUGGAGUAUGGCAGAGGGAGGUGGAAUUCCACGUGUAGCGGUGAAAUGCGUAGAGAUGUGGAGGAACACCGAUGGCGAAGGCAGCCUCCUGGGCCAAUACUGACGCUCAUGCACGAAAGCGUGGGGAGCAAACAGG
This 253-nucleotide ribosomal RNA is filed under the name uncultured bacterium. RNAcentral describes it as "partial 16S ribosomal RNA". It matches the Rfam family "Bacterial small subunit ribosomal RNA", at positions 524 to 776 of the family's 1533-position model. The record is from RNAcentral.